Molecule: RNA transcript, 2066 nt
Organism: Nomascus leucogenys (northern white-cheeked gibbon)
Lineage: Eukaryota; Metazoa; Chordata; Mammalia; Primates; Hylobatidae
Gene name: keratin, type II cytoskeletal 8 pseudogene
Source: RefSeq, a predicted model, not a curated record
CAACCCGAGUUUUCUCUCCGCAGAAGACUCCUAAAAAAGGGUUGUGAUUAGUUACCAACUGAGAAAGAUGCAAUACAAAUAGGAAAUAACCGCAAUUUAUAAUUUUAUUUGUUUAUCUAAAAUUUGUCUUCCUCCCUAGACAGUAAGCUCUCUGAAGUCAAGAACCAUAGUUGUUUUGUUCACUACUGUAUACCCAGCACCUAAUAGUACUUGGCACAUAAGUACUCAGGGACUAUUUGUCAAAUGCAAGACCAUAUGCCCCUAAAGCAGGAGUCAGGAAAACCAGAAAAAAUGCCUUUAAGUAUUACAGAAAUGCUGCAGGCCUCCACUUAAAUUGAAAAGCAAGCUAACCCCUCUUGAUAAAAAUGUGGAUUGAGAUCAAGAAGCGGCUUCUCCGCUCCUUCUGGAAUCUCCACCUGGUUCAGCCUGCUGCCUCCGCUCCUGCUUCCACCAUGUCCAUCAGGGUGACCCAGAAGUCCUACAAGGUAUCCACCUUUGGCCCCCAGGCUUUCAGCAGCCGCCCCUACACAAGUGGGCCCAGUGCCUGCACCAGCUCCUCGAGCUUCUCCCUAGUGGGGAACAGCAGCUUCUGGAGUGGCCUGGGCGGAGGCUAUGGUGGGGCCAGCAGUAUGAGAGGCAUCACCACCAUCACGGUCAACCAGAGCCUGCUGAGCCCCCUUAACCUGGAGGUGGACUCCAACAUCCAGGCUGUGUUCAUCCAGGAGAAGGGGCAGAUCAAGACCCUCAACAACAAGUUUGCCUCCUUCACAGACAAGUACCGUUCCUGGAGCAGCAGAACAAGGUGCUGGAGACCAAGUGGAGCCUUCUGCAGCAGCACAAGAUGGCUGGGAGCAACAUGGACAACAUGUUCGGGAGCUAUAUCAACAACCUUAGGCGGCAGCUGGAGCCAGGAGAAGCUGAAGCUGGAAGCGGAGCUUGGCAACAUGCAGGGGCUGGUGGAGGACUUCAGGAACAAGUAUGAGGAUGAGAUCAGUAAGCGUACAGAGAUGGAUAAUUAAUUUGUCCUCAUCAAGAAGGAUGUGGAUGAAACUUACAUGAACAACGUAGAGCUGGAGUCUCACCUGGAAGGGCCAACUGUAUGAAGUGGAGACCUGCGGGCUGCAAUCCCAGAUCUCCAACAUGUCUGUGGUGCUGUCCAUGGACAGCAGCCACUCCUGGACAUGGACAGCAUCAUCGCUGAAGUCAAGAGGCAGUGCAAGGAGGUCGCCAACCGCAGCCGGGCUGAGGCUGAGAGCACGUACCAGAUCAAGUAUGUGGAGCUGCAGAUGCUGGCUAGGAAGCACAGGGAUGACCUGCGGCAUACAAAGACUCAAAUCUCCAAGAUGAACCGGAACAUCAGCCAGCUCUAGGCUGAGAUCGAGGGCCUCAAAGGCCAGGGGGCUUCCCUGGAGGCCGCCAUCACAGAUGCUGAGCAGUGUGGGAAGCUGGCUGUUAAGGAUGCCAAUGCCAAGCUGUCCAAGCUGGAGGCCACUCUGCAGCGUGUGAGUACCAGGAGCUGAUGAACGUCAAGCUGGCCCUGGAAAUGGAGAUCGCCACCUAUGGAAAGCUGCGGGAGGGCUAGGAGAGCCGGCUGGAGUCUGGGAUGCAGAACGUGAGUAUCCAUGUGAAGACCGCCAGCGGCUCUGCAGCUGAUCUGAGCUCGGCCUAUGUGGGCCUCACAAGUCGUGACCUCAGCUAUGGCCUGGGCUCCAGCUUUGGCUGUGGCACAGGCUCCAGCUCCUUCAGCUGCACCAGCUCCACCAGGGCCGUGGUGUGAAGAAGAUCAGGACCCGCAAUGGGAAGCUGGUGUCUGAGUCCUCUGACUUCCUGCCCAAGUGAACAACUGUGGCAGCCCCUCCUAAUCUGCCCCUCCUGUGGCUGCCACAGACUCCAGGAGGGAGGCUGCUGUGUGGGGAAGCACAGAGAACAGGAGACCCCCCUGAGGCUCAACCCACCCAUGGGGGAGUUUACUGUCUGGGGACCCCCCUUGCUCAUGCUUCCAGCUACAAAACAAUUCAAUUUUUUUUUUUUUUUUGUCCAAAAUAAAACCUCAGCUAGCUCCACCA